AUGGAGGUUCUCCUGAGAGUGCUCUCGGGCACCCUGCUGUGGCAUCUGGCCUGUGUGAGAAGCCAAGAAAUAGAGCAGAGUCCUCAGGCCUUGACCAUUCAAGAGGGGCAAGAUGUCACUAUCAACUGCAGUUCCUCCGUGCCUCUGUAUGUCCUGCAGUGGUACAGGCAGAAGCGUGGUGAGGGGCUCGAGUUUUUGAUGUUGUUACUGAAAGGUGGAGAUAAGAAGGCUCAAGACGAACUAACUGCCACAAUUGAUGAGAAAAUGAAGCAAAGCUCCCUGCUCAUCUCAGCCUCCCGGCCUAGUCACUCAGUCACCUACUUCUGCGGAGGAAGAGCACAGUGA
Non-coding RNA from Talpa occidentalis (Iberian mole), 345 nucleotides. NCBI's taxonomy places the organism in Eukaryota, Metazoa, Chordata, Mammalia, Eulipotyphla, Talpidae. The record is from the annotation of a RefSeq genome assembly.